AGAGCAGCGGCCGGGUUUUGCUCCCGCCUCGGAGCCCCUGGCCCGGGGGAGGGGGAGAGGCCGCUAGCCUGGUUUAUGUCUUUUUCUGACUCCAGUGCAACCUUCCUGCUGAACGAGAGCCAUCUCCCAGGAGAAGAGCACCUUGAGGGUCUUACUCUUUGACACCUCUCCAGGCCCCUGAAAGAAGGAAUUGAAGAGAAAGGAUGAAAGAGGGGGAUACAAGGAAUACUGCGUAACUGGGUGAGGGCACAAAAGUGGGCAGUGUCUGGGAACUUCCAAUACAGAAGAAUCCAGUAUAUGACCAAACCCCAGUUGGUGCUGGACUCAGGAGAGGAGACAGUCCCUUCAGCCACAGGGGCUGCAACAAAGUUGUUUGUCAAACCCAGCAUGAGGAAGGUGCUGGGCAGGGCUGCUCUGGGCCACCCACAGUAGACAGACUAAAGAUGUCAGUCUGAAGAUGCAGCUCUUCUUUGUCUUGCCAAGAUAACACCGAUAAGUGACCCAGGUGGGAAGCCACUUGGUUUGGGUGGGCUUUCUCUCUCCCAUGCACAGUGCUU
This 557-nucleotide small RNA is filed under the name Pan troglodytes (chimpanzee). Its description in RNAcentral is "retained intron". Lineage: Eukaryota; Metazoa; Chordata; Mammalia; Primates; Hominidae. The record is from RNAcentral.